CGCCUGGGGAGUACGGCCGCAAGGUUAAAACUCAAAUGAAUUGACGGGGGCCCGCACAAGCGGUGGAGCAUGUGGUUUAAUUCGACGCAACGCGAAGAACCUUACCUGGCCUUGACAUGCAGAGAACUUUCCAGAGAUGGAUUGGUGCCUUCGGGAACUCUGACACAGGUGCUGCAUGGCCGUCGUCAGCUCGUGUCGUGAGAUGUUGGGUUAAGUCCCGUAACGAGCGCAACCCCUAUCCCUAGUUGCUAGCAGUUCGGCUGAGAACUCUAGGGAGACUGCCGGUGACAAACCGGAGGAAGGUGGGGAUGACGUCAGGUCAUCAUGGCCCUUACGGCCAGGGCUUCACACGUGCUACAAUGGUGCGCACAGAGGGCUGCAAACCCGCGAGGGGGAGCCAAUCUCACAAAACGCAUCGUAGUCCGGAUCGCAGUCUGCAACUCGACUGCGUGAAGUCGGAAUCGCUAGUAAUCGUGAAUCAGAAUGUCACGGUGAAUACGUUCCCGGGCCUUGUACACACCGCCCGUCACACCAUGGGAGUGGAUUGCACCAGAAGUGGUUAGUCUAACCUUCGGGAGGACGAUCACCACGGUGUGGUUCAUGACUGGGGUGAAGUCGUAACAAGGUAACCGUA
This 634-nucleotide ribosomal RNA is filed under the name uncultured Marinobacter sp. RNAcentral describes it as "bacterial SSU rRNA". It matches the Rfam family "Bacterial small subunit ribosomal RNA", at positions 870 to 1504 of the family's 1533-position model. The record is from RNAcentral. Lineage: Bacteria; Pseudomonadati; Pseudomonadota; Gammaproteobacteria; Pseudomonadales; Marinobacteraceae.